AAAAAUUAAUGACUUUAGCAAAUACUAGUUAUACUCCAUUAAUGCCUUAAUCAUGUAAGUAUACACAUCUUAUUUAAGUUCAACUAUUUAUACUUCAAGACAAUUAUUAAAGACUAUUACAAGUAAUGUGAAAACCGAGAUAAUUACUAAUAUAAAUACUAACAUACUGUUUAUGAUUCAAUCCAAAUUUCAAAAAAUUCAAAAGUGAAAUAAAUAAUCAAAUUGUAAUAUUUAGCCAAAAUUUCUACCAAAAUACAUAAAAAGAAAUAAAAGAAAAUGCAUGAAAAUUAAGAAAAAUAAAAAAAAAUAUGCAGAAUAAUAAAACAAGAAAUAAGAAAUAAGAAAAUGCAACAUAUAUAAUUUCCUCCCCCACACUUGACCAACACAUCGCCCUCAAUGUGUGAAAAAAAGCAAAAAGGGAUACAAAGAAAGUUAGAAUAAUACUCCCC
Molecule: long non-coding RNA, 449 nt
Filed under: Manihot esculenta (cassava)
Lineage: Eukaryota; Viridiplantae; Streptophyta; Magnoliopsida; Malpighiales; Euphorbiaceae
Description: long non-coding RNA (MESC_LNC004742)
Source: RNAcentral